CAAGGGCACUCUGGAAAGCCGGUGGGAGCCCCUGCCGCACCGACGGGGUCAAGGGUUUGAAAAAGCCCGAAUCUCUCAGGUCACAGGACAGAGGGGGGUCA
RNAcentral lists this non-coding RNA (101 nucleotides) under Acidocella aminolytica. Its description in RNAcentral is "Glycine sequence". It matches the Rfam family "Glycine riboswitch aptamer". From Rfam's summary of the family: This family represents the bacterial glycine riboswitch. Glycine riboswitches usually consist of two metabolite-binding aptamers domains with similar structures in tandem. Lineage: Bacteria; Pseudomonadati; Pseudomonadota; Alphaproteobacteria; Acetobacterales; Acidocellaceae. RNAcentral also lists the same sequence under 1 other name. The record is from RNAcentral.